Molecule: non-coding RNA, 421 nt
Organism: Paramuricea clavata
Lineage: Eukaryota; Metazoa; Cnidaria; Anthozoa; Malacalcyonacea; Plexauridae
Source: the annotation of a GenBank genome assembly
UAUAAAUCCUAGGUGGUGCCAACAAGAACAAGCUUUCUUUGGUAGGGAUGCAACUACCUGAAAAAUAUAAGGAGAAUUUUGACGUUUCGAGCGAAGGCCCUACGUAUGGAGUUACUAAGACGUCUGCAGUUAUUCAGUUACUCAAGACAAUUAAGGCCUUCGCCCGAAACAUCGAACUUCUCCUCAUAUUUUCAGGUAGUUGCAUCCCCAUACCAACGAAACCUAGCAAUACGUUUAGAAAAAAAGCGUGUCAAACCUGUCACGUCUGGUGUACCGCAAGGUUCAAUACUUGGUCCAGCAUUGUUCCUCCUCUACGUCAAUGAUCUGCCAAGCAAUGUGAAGUCAAGUCGUGUUGCAAUGUUUGCGGACGAUACCAAAGUCUUCAAGGCAAUACAAUCGCCCAAUGAUGCAAUAAAGUUAC